RNAcentral lists this unclassified non-coding RNA (144 nucleotides) under fungal sp. RNAcentral describes it as "partial internal transcribed spacer region". The stretch from base 1 to 46 matches the Rfam family "Eukaryotic small subunit ribosomal RNA", at positions 1786 to 1831 of the family's 1831-position model. The record is from RNAcentral. Lineage: Eukaryota; Fungi.
AAGUCGUAACAAGGUUUCCGUAGGUGAACCUGCGGAAGGAUCAUUGAGAGUGUUGGGUGGGGGUUGUUGGAAUGUAGGGUGAGAUAUCACGUGACAAAAAUAUUUUAUUCAAUAUGACUAGCCACCUGGGAUCUCUGGGCUCUU